This 255-nucleotide unclassified non-coding RNA is filed under the name plant metagenome. RNAcentral describes it as "partial contains small subunit ribosomal RNA and internal transcribed spacer 1". The stretch from base 1 to 54 matches the Rfam family "Eukaryotic small subunit ribosomal RNA", at positions 1778 to 1831 of the family's 1831-position model. The record is from RNAcentral.
GGAAGUAAAAGUCGUAACAAGAUUUCCGUAGGUGAACCUGCGGAAGGAUCAUUAUUGGAUUUUGAAACUUCAGGCUGCUGCUGGCUCUCCUCGGAGGGCAUGUGCACGCUUGUUGUCCAUUAUUUCUCCCACUGUGCACAAAUUGUAGACCUUUCAGUAGGCCUAUGUUGUUUUUCACAAUCUCUGAAUGUAAUAGAAUGGUUUUGAAUCUUGGGAAAUACAAUACAACUUUCAGCAACGGAUCUCUUGGCUCCC